RNAcentral lists this ribosomal RNA (458 nucleotides) under uncultured bacterium. RNAcentral describes it as "partial 16S ribosomal RNA". It matches the Rfam family "Bacterial small subunit ribosomal RNA", at positions 338 to 795 of the family's 1533-position model. The record is from RNAcentral.
CCUACGGGGGGCAGCAGUGGGGAAUAUUGCACAAUGGGGGAAACCCUGAUGCAGCGACGCCGCGUGAGUGAAGAAGUAAUUCGUUACGUAAAGCUCUAUCAGCAGGGAAGAAACACUGACCUUACGGUCAGCAGACGGUACCUGAGUAAGAAGCCCCGGCUAACUACGUGCCAGCAGCCGCGGUAAUACGUAGGGGGCAAGCGUUAUACGGAUUUACUGGGUGUAAAGGGGGCGUAGACGGUGCGCCAAGUCUGUAGUGAAAUGCCGCAGCUUAACUGCGGAACUGCUUUGGAAACUGGCGAACUAGAGUGCGGGAGGGGUAAGCGGAAUGCCUAGUGUAGCGGUGAAAUGCGUAGAUAUUAGGAGGAACACCGGUGGCGAAGGCGGCUUACUGGACCGUAACUGACGUUGAGGCUCGAAAGCGUGGGGAGCAAACAGGAUUAGAUACCCGGGUAGUC